Molecule: long non-coding RNA, 238 nt
Filed under: Capsicum annuum
Lineage: Eukaryota; Viridiplantae; Streptophyta; Magnoliopsida; Solanales; Solanaceae
Description: long non-coding RNA (CANN_LNC008416)
Source: RNAcentral
GGGAUUCAAUGGUUCUACCUGCUCGAGACAAAGAUUGACUAUCCGCUAUUUUUCCAAAGUCAAAUUUCAGAGUCAUAGGAAGAGGAAAAAAUUAUCAACGUUACUCACGUCCAUGCGUUCGAAUAAUUUUUUUGGAUGGAGGGACUUGUUAGCUAUUGCAUCUUCACCAUACAUAAUUUGCAAAUCAUGGCGAACAUCCAUUCUAUCGUCUUACAUUUAAGUUCAUAGUAUGGGCGGC